RNAcentral lists this ribosomal RNA (819 nucleotides) under uncultured bacterium. RNAcentral's name for it is "bacterial SSU rRNA". It matches the Rfam family "Bacterial small subunit ribosomal RNA", at positions 57 to 870 of the family's 1533-position model. The record is from RNAcentral.
GCAGUCGACGGCAGCACGGGAGCUUGCUCCUGGUGGCGAGUGGCGAACGGGUGAGUAAUAUAUCGGAACGUAUCCAAUAAUGGGGGAUAACUAACCGAAAGGUUGGCUAAUACCGCAUACGCCCUACGGGGGAAAGCAGGGGAUCGUAAGACCUUGCGUUAAUGGAGCGGCCGAUAUCUGAUUAGCUAGUUGGUGGGGUAAAGGCUCACCAAGGCUUUGAUCAGUAGCUGGUCUGAGAGGACGACCAGCCACACUGGAACUGAGACACGGUCCAGACUCCUACGGGAGGCAGCAGUGGGGAAUUUUGGACAAUGGGGGCAACCCUGAUCCAGCCAUUCCGCGUGAGUGAAGAAGGCCUUCGGGUUGUAAAGCUCUUUCGCAAGGGAAGAAAACUUACCUAAUAACACUAGGUGAGGCUGACGGUACCUUGAUAAGAAGCACCGGCUAACUACGUGCCAGCAGCCGCGGUAAUACGUAGGGUGCGAGCGUUAAUCGGAAUUACUGGGCGUAAAGCGUGCGCAGGCGGUUCUGUAAGUCAGAUGUGAAAGCCCCGGGCUCAACCUGGGAACUGCGUUUGAAACUACAGGACUAGAGUAUGGCAGAGGGGGGUAGAACUCCACGUGUAGCAGUGAAAUGCGUAGAGAUGUGGAGGAAUACCAAUGGCGAAGGCAGCCCCCUGGGUCAAUACUGACGCUCAUGCACGAAAGCGUGGGGAGCAAACAGGAUUAGAUACCCUGGUAGUCCACGCCCUAAACGAUGUCUACUAGUUGUUGGGAGAGUAAAAUCUCUUAGUAACGCAGCUAACGCGUGAAGUAGACC